AUACUCAUAAGCCCAAAACAUUUUGAUUAGACCUGUGAAGCCCGGUUCAGUUGAGUUGGAGACCGACCGCCUAUUUUUCCCCCUGAUUUGGAAAUAGUAGAUUCCGUUGUUUUUGUGCGAUGGAGGAGCCUCCAACUCUACUUCAUCAGAGCCUAGGAAACAUGAGCUUCCAUUACUUCUUAAAGGCCCCAAGCCCUCGAACUCCUCU
RNAcentral lists this long non-coding RNA (208 nucleotides) under Elaeis guineensis (African oil palm). RNAcentral's name for it is "long non-coding RNA (EGUI_LNC074715)". The record is from RNAcentral. Lineage: Eukaryota; Viridiplantae; Streptophyta; Magnoliopsida; Arecales; Arecaceae.